UACAGAGGUGGCAAGCGUUGUUCGGAAUUACUGGGCGUAAAGGGCGCGUAGGCGGUCUUCUAAGUCUUGUGUGAAAUCCCUCGGCUCAACUGAGGAACUGCACGGGAUACUGGAAGACUUGAGUUCGGGAGAGGGAAGCGGAAUUCCGGGUGUAGCGGUGAAAUGCGUAGAUAUCCGGAGGAACACCGGUGGCGAAGGCGGCUUCCUGGACCGAUCACUGACGCUGAGGCGCGAAAACUAGGGGAGCAAACGGG
This 254-nucleotide ribosomal RNA is filed under the name uncultured bacterium. RNAcentral's name for it is "partial 16S ribosomal RNA". It matches the Rfam family "Bacterial small subunit ribosomal RNA", at positions 524 to 776 of the family's 1533-position model. The record is from RNAcentral.